GCUUACAUAUUUCUGGAGAAGAGCAAAAGCCCAUGGAUUGGAACCAGAUAUAGCAGAAGAACGUUUGCAGUUCUGGAUCAACCACAACCACAACAAUCGAUCUUUCACAUCACAUGAUGCAGUUGAUGUUGAGAGGGGGCUAUUGGAGCUGAGAAAGUUAGGCAUUGAGAACCAAUUAUGGCAAGAGUCUCGCAGAGGGCUAGAGGUUGACUCCAAUUCUAGAACACCUGCUGAGUCUAAAUUUUGAUGAUCCAAAUUGAUAAUUUUUUCUUUCAAUUUCUGAAAACAUUAAAGAGAAAUGUCAUAAUUUCUUUACUAGACAGAAGGAUGAUGUUGGUAGUACAUUGAGAAUGGUUUUGGUCUUGUGAUUUUACAUGUAACUAUUUGAUUAUCACAUAUCAUCAGCUGGUUGAUAGGUUGAUAGACUGACUUCAAAGUGAUGAUUAUUAUUGAAAUUUUUCAUUCAUUUUUUAACCUAUUAUUCAU
RNAcentral lists this unclassified non-coding RNA (486 nucleotides) under Hevea brasiliensis (rubber tree). Lineage: Eukaryota; Viridiplantae; Streptophyta; Magnoliopsida; Malpighiales; Euphorbiaceae. The record is from RNAcentral.